UGGGGAAUCUUGCGCAAUGGACGAAAGUCUGACGCAGCGACGCCGCGUGGGUGACGAAGGCCUUCGGGUUGUAAAGCCCUGUGGGGUGAGACGAACAGCUGGGAUUCGAACAGGGUCUUGGUCUGACGGUAUCACCUUAGCAAGCACCGGCUAACUCUGUGCCAGCAGCCGCGGUAAUACAGAGGGUGCAAACGUUGCUCGGAAUUACUGGGCGUAAAGCGCGUGUAGGCGGUUUUAUAAGUCCAACGUGAAAGCCUGGGGCUCAACCCCAGAAGUGCGUAGGAUACUGUGAAGCUGGAGUCCUGAAGAGGAGAGCGGAAUUCCCGGUGUAGAGGUGAAAUUCGUAGAUAUCGGGAGGAACACCUGUGGCGAAGGCGGCUCUCUGGGCAGGUACUGACGC
This 400-nucleotide ribosomal RNA is filed under the name uncultured bacterium. RNAcentral describes it as "bacterial SSU rRNA". It matches the Rfam family "Bacterial small subunit ribosomal RNA", at positions 355 to 746 of the family's 1533-position model. The record is from RNAcentral.